CCACAGAGGCAUCACUCUCCAGCCCUGGCUUUUCCCUUUGCAACAUUCUGGGUUUUUAUUUGCUAGUCUUCUUACAUUUAUCUAAUCUUGUGUUUUGAGCCUCUCUCUAUUUGGAAUUCUUUUGUUUCCUCCCGGUUUCAACCUUGCGUCUCUCUUCCUCUUCGUUUCGCUCUUUCUCACCCCCCUCCCCCACCUCAAUCCUCAUCCCGUAAUCUAUCAGGUCAUAAGACUGGAAGCCAAGAGCAAGGGGCGCUACAGAAGCUACACAGAUGGGCAGAACGGAACAAUGUGCUCCUGAGUGGCCCGUGGGUCACUGAAGAAACCAUGGAGGACCUUAAAGGUUUCUAGAAUCAAAUGAAAAGGAAUGUGUAAGGGACAAGACCUGUUAGGAUUUGGGUAAGGCUGGUCUUAGAGUAGCAGUUCUCAACCUGUGGGUCUCGACCCCACUCAGGGGGUCACGAAUCAGAUACCCUGCACAUCAGAUAUGUACGUUACGACUCGUAACAGUAGCCAAAUGACAGUUAUGACGCAGCAACGAAACUAGUUUCACGGUUGCAGGUCGCCACAACAUGAGGACCUGUAUUAAGGGCCGCCAUGGCAUCAGGGAGGCUGAGAAUCCUUCCGCCAUUUUAGAGGGAAGUGUAUAGCUAUGGAUGCCAACGGAAAGAAAUCAGAGAGAUGUCGACCCCUGCUCUCUCUCAUCCUGGUUUUAUUAAUUUUAUUAAUUAUUGGCUUGAGGUUUCUCCAUCAUUAACCCUGAGCUUACCACGGUUCCAGUGGAAAUGCAAGAACUCACUGGCCAGCAGUUUGACAGCUUACGCUCUCUAAACGGGGAAGUCUAGAGGAAAUGAAUACAUUCUUAGACACACACGCCCUAGCAAAAUCAGAUCAAGAAGAUAUAAUGGGUCUGUAGUUGGUCGAGUCUGUGGAAAGGAGAAUAAUUGGUUCUUGAGGGUGUUCCCGCUUGAACCUUUUCCAUGAUUCAAUGGAUGCCUCGAGCUGAAGUGCGCAUGAACCUGUACUACAAGAUGGGGUGCUCUGUCACUGUGAUGGCUCCAAUGAGAAAUGUCCCCCACAGUCUCGGACAUUUGAACAUUCGGCUUCCAACCGAUGGCGCUGUUUUGGACGUUUCAGAGGCGUGUCCUUGUUGGAGGAAGUAGAGUGAAGGCGUCUUUGGACAAAACCUAGGAACUUUCAGAAUCAUGUAAAAGAUGGCGAACAAGAAAAACAAUCCUUUAUUAAACUGCUAAAGUCUUAACACAUCAGCAUCUUUACGAAAUGGCACCACCAGGUGGAGAGCUUAGAACAUUAAGCAUCAAUGUUAAACAGGUCGAAGACAUCAGAAGACAGCAGGCAGGCUUGUGUGUCCUACCGUGGACAUGGUAGGUGGGAUGAGUGAAGCUGGGUCUAACAUCUCAUCGUGUUUCUGGUCUUGACGUUCUUGGGUCCCUACAAGGAUCCGAGACCCAAGAGACAGAAACAGUAAAAGCACAAAGGAAGUCAGAUUAUACAUGCUGACAGUAACACAGCUGUCCUGCAAACAAGGACUUUAAACCUGGUAUAUCCCUUCUUAGGUGCAGCACUGAGAACUGACGGGGUCUGGAAUGGGUUGAUGUAAUUCAACAGUCAGCCUCUGUCUACUUAGGGGAAUGUUCCAGGUCUAACAACCCUGUUUUUUUGUUGUUUUGCAGGUGGUUUUCUGAGACAGGGUCUCAGUAUGUAACCCUGGCUGGCCUGGACCUUGCCAUGUAGAACAGGCUAGCCUCAAAGUCAUAAAGGUCUGUCUACCUUGGUCUCUGUGGUGCCACCUGGUCUAUGGCCCUGUUUUAUUCUCCUGUAGGUAGAGUAAAAUUCUGAAAACCAUUGCUAAUCUUCCUCCUUCAUUUUUUAUCAGGUCUUCUUGUUGAAGCGGUACAUAAUUGAUUAACUGCAUAAGAACCCUAACUUUACUAUGGAAACACUUAUCGAUUCUAAAGCUUCCAACACAGUGAAACCCAAAGUGUGGCCAGAACUCAGUGCUCUGCCCUGUUCUGGGAUCAUUUCCUUAUGUCUACCUCAAAACUCAAGUGAAAGCCAUGACCUUGUCAAUUUCUGCUUCUUCAAACAUUUCUUGACCACUGAGGAUAUGAUGGGGCACAGAGUAAUAGCUUAUAAGACUGUGUAACAGAGCCCUAGACAAUGAAGAGUGUAUAAUUCCACAUAUACCAAGCUAUAGAAUAAAUAAAAUUAACCUAUGCUGGAAAAGAA
Molecule: non-coding RNA, 2247 nt
Organism: Rattus norvegicus (Norway rat)
Lineage: Eukaryota; Metazoa; Chordata; Mammalia; Rodentia; Muridae
Source: RefSeq, a predicted model, not a curated record